AGAGCACUCCUACGGGAGGCAGCAGUGGGGAAUAUUGCACAAUGGGCGCAAGCCUGAUGCAGCCAUGCCGCGUGUAUGAAGAAGGCCUUCGGGUUGUAAAGUACUUUCAGCAGUGAGGAAGUGGAUAUGUUAAUAGCAUAUUCAUUUGACGUUUAGCUGCAGAAGAAGCACCGGCUAACUCCGUGCCAGCAGCCGCGGUAAUACGGAGGGUGCGAGCGUUAAUCGGAAUUACUGGGCGUAAAGCGCAUGCAGGUGGUUUGUUAAGUCAGAUGUGAAAGCCCGGGGCUCAACCUCGGAAUUGCAUUUGAAACUGGCAAACUAGAGUACUGUAGAGGGGGUAGGAAUUUCAGGUGUAGCGGUGAAAUGCGUAGAGAUCUGAAGGAAUACCGGUGGCGAAGGCGGCCCCCUGGACAGAUACUGACACUCAGAUGCGAAAGCGUGGGGAGCAAACAGGAUUAGAUACCCUGGUAG
Molecule: ribosomal RNA, 471 nt
Filed under: uncultured bacterium
Lineage: Bacteria
Description: bacterial SSU rRNA
Rfam family: Bacterial small subunit ribosomal RNA
Source: RNAcentral